AUGAGAGAUGCCGGAGCUCUUCCCACCAUCUGCACCCCCAGAGCCGAAUUCCGUAGGGAAAGGCGAGACGGAAACGUGGGAAUGUGUGGAAUGGGAUGGGGUUACUUGCUCCGAAUAUUUCAUGGAAUUUUGGGGUUUGGGAAAUGUGGGAAUGCGGGAAUCCAGCUGGUGGCUGAUGGGAAAACGAAGGAAAAGCGGAAUUGCCUGGAAAUACGGGAUUGGGAAUUUCUCCUUUGGUGUUUUUUAAUGUCAGAAAAUUCCAGAGGGUUUUGUCCACCGGGUGAAUCCAAGGAAAACCUUGCCUGGGAAUGUGGGAGAAUUGAGCUCCAGUGGCUGCGCUUCCAUGGACACGGGAAAAUCAAAUUUUUCCUGUUUGAAUUUCAAUCCCACGGAGCGAAAUCCCGACAAAUCCUCUUCCCUCAAAAACCUGGGAGCUGGGGCAGAAAUAACCUGGGAAUGCACGGGGGAGAUUCCUUUUGUGAGGAUUGGAAGAAUUCCUUGGUUGUUUUGAGGGAUUUUGGUGCUCAGGAAUUUGGGAUCUUUCCUGAUUUAUGGCCAGGGGAAAGGGAUGGAAUUCUGCUUGCGGGGCCCUGCUCCAUGGAUUCCUCAGAUCCCAGAAUCCUGGAAUAUCAGAGCUGGGAGGGCUCACUGAUCCAACCCCCAACAAUCCCGGCGUUCCUGGAGCUCCGGCAGCCUUGGGAAUGUGGCCAUUCCCGGAUUUCCUGCUCCUGGGCUCGCUCUGGCUCUCUCCAACGUUUCCUUGUGUUGGAAGAGCUGGAAAAUUCCUCCAGGCUGGAGAUCCCAGCUCUGGAAUGGGAACAAACAGCGGCAGCUUCCGGGCGGCCUCCACCAGGCUCUUCCAAAGGGGAGAAAUCCUGGAAUCUCCUUUUUCCAGGAGAAAUCCCGGAGGUUUGGGAAUGGGAGGCGCCAGGCCUGGCUGGGAAGGAGGAAUUUGGGAAGUUGGUGAGCAAAGGAAUGGGAGGAGGAUUUGGGGCUUCCAACGUUCGGGAAAAGGAGAUAAUUCCCAAUGUUUUGGUUCUUCCAGAGGAUCUGUGGCUGCUCCAUCCCUGGAAGUGUCCGAGGCCGGGUUGGAAGGGGCUUGGAGCAGCCUGGGACAGCGGGAGCCGUCCCUGCCCAUGGAUUAACCUCACUUCCCAAACCAUCCCACAGUUCUGUGAUAUCCCAGGAAGAUUUUGA
This 1197-nucleotide long non-coding RNA is filed under the name Parus major (Great Tit). RNAcentral describes it as "lncRNA (ENSPMJG00000004515.1)". The record is from RNAcentral. Lineage: Eukaryota; Metazoa; Chordata; Aves; Passeriformes; Paridae.